This 253-nucleotide ribosomal RNA is filed under the name uncultured bacterium. Its description in RNAcentral is "partial 16S ribosomal RNA". It matches the Rfam family "Bacterial small subunit ribosomal RNA", at positions 524 to 776 of the family's 1533-position model. The record is from RNAcentral.
UACGGAGGGAGCUAGCGUUGUUCGGAAUUACUGGGCGUAAAGCGCGCGUAGGCGGCUUUGUAAGUUAGAGGUGAAAGCCCGGAGCUCAACUCCGGAACUGCCUUUAAGACUGCAUCGCUUGAAUCCGGGAGAGGUGAGUGGAAUUCCGAGUGUAGAGGUGAAAUUCGUAGAUAUUCGGAAGAACACCAGUGGCGAAGGCGGCUUUCUGGUCUGUAACUGACGCUGAGGCGCGAAAGCGUGGGGAGCAAACAGG